Long non-coding RNA from Nicotiana attenuata, 1298 nucleotides. RefSeq lists it as uncharacterized. NCBI's taxonomy places the organism in Eukaryota, Viridiplantae, Streptophyta, Magnoliopsida, Solanales, Solanaceae. The transcript is spliced from 2 exons. The record is from RefSeq and is a predicted model, not a curated record.
UUGUCUAUUAUUUUUCUUUGGCUUUCAUCAUUACGUCAUAAAUAUAUUUUUGUUCCAGAUUCGAGGGACGGUGUAGUAUCUUGCCCUUAUCAGUCAAAAAUCAUCACAAUACCUCAAAAAUUUUAAAUCUUUUCAUAGGCCUCGGUCUACUAGUUUUGCUCACAUCAGUAAUUGGUCAAAAACAAAGUAUGAACAAACAUCAAACGGGGUCAGAAUUACAUCGUGGUCCGGCGAGCAUCAAAGAGAUUGAGAUUUCAAAUAUGUAUGACAGAAUUAAACACGAUAGCCAAGCAAGCUAUAUCAACGAAAUUGAACAACGUCCUAUUUGACCAGAAAACACCAUUAAACCAACCAAAUAACUGAGGCAAUGCGAUAGGGAAAACAGAACAAGAUCCCCACAGAGAUGGCCACAAAGAUGUGUGAAACUCAUGAAGAACAGUUAGGAAUUUCGUAUGCAACACCUGUGAACAGUAGCGAUAGAAAUCUAACACCCACUGACCCAUCGGAGAGUCAAGUCAGCGAGCAAAAGCGCCAGAACCACAGAAGUUCAAAACUGAGAGAGAAAAACAGUGGUCACCGGCUAAACUUUCCGGCCAGUUCGUCAACUAUAAGUUAUUAGGAAAAAAAUGCUACGUCCGACUUCUUGGUGACCGAAUAAGAGAGGUUUUUACCGCUUUCUCUUCUCUCCAGCACUCUCGGACUAUGACGGCAAGGGUAACCAGGGCAACACGUGAAGCACAUAGUAGCAGGUAUCGCCGGAAAAUUGUAUUUCCGUCCAAAUCUAAUUGUUUUCCGGCAGACACAAAGCCUGAAAAAACUACUAAACCAUUAGAGAAGGUGGAUAAGAGGAGCGACGGAGACAGGAGAAGCAGUAGUAGCCGGAUUUCAACGUUCGACAGAGGCAGCGUGGGUCCACUUCCACCCAGAUCUGGUCAGAUCUGGAGAGAGCAGGGAGUGGGGAGGUCGUGGUGGGCGUCGCCGCCUGACUGGUGAUGAAACCCGGCAGGCAGCGAUGGAGGGAGAUGGUAGAAAUGGGAAAGGGGAGAGAAGAGGCUUGAGGGGUUUUUGAGGGGUUCUUAACUUAUGGAUUUGGGAUUCAGGUACUUUGGAGUUGGUUGAUCACUAGCUAGUUGUUUGGGGUUUUGCUGUGGAGACUCGAGGUAAACCUGUCGUUGUGUUUGCAGGCUUCGGAGUCACCUUCUGAUAUUGUACUUGUACUGUCUAUUUCUCUUCCGGAACAGUUGUACUUAGAAUAUUAUUCAAGUAAACUCAGUAAAGCUUAUGACACGUACUACCGA